UACGAAGGGGGCUAGCGUUGUUCGGAAUCACUGGGCGUAAAGCGCACGUAGGCGGAUUGUUAAGUCGGGGGUGAAAUCCUGAGUCUCAACCUCAGAGCUGCCUUCGAUACUGGCAAUCUCGAGUCCGGAAGAGGUUGGUGGAACAGCUAGUGUAGAGGUGAAAUUCGUAGAUAUUAGCUAGAACACCAGUGGCGAAGGCGGCCAACUGGUCCGGUACUGACGCUGAGGUGCGAAAGCGUGGGGAGCAAACAGG
RNAcentral lists this ribosomal RNA (253 nucleotides) under uncultured bacterium. Its description in RNAcentral is "partial 16S ribosomal RNA". It matches the Rfam family "Bacterial small subunit ribosomal RNA", at positions 524 to 776 of the family's 1533-position model. The record is from RNAcentral.